UGACGUGUAGCUCAGCGGUAGUAGCACCCGACUGUUAAUCGGGAAGUCGUAGGUUCGAUCCCUACCACGUCAGCCA
This 76-nucleotide transfer RNA is filed under the name Paenibacillus polymyxa. Its description in RNAcentral is "tRNA-Asn". It matches the Rfam family "tRNA". Rfam says of the family: Transfer RNA (tRNA) molecules are approximately 80 nucleotides in length. RNAcentral also lists the same sequence under 1 other name. Lineage: Bacteria; Bacillati; Bacillota; Bacilli; Caryophanales; Paenibacillaceae. The record is from RNAcentral.